This 449-nucleotide ribosomal RNA is filed under the name uncultured bacterium. Its description in RNAcentral is "partial 16S ribosomal RNA". It matches the Rfam family "Bacterial small subunit ribosomal RNA", at positions 29 to 523 of the family's 1533-position model. The record is from RNAcentral.
AAUGAACGCUGGCGGCAGGCCUAACACAUGCAAGUCGAACGGAUCCUUCGGGAUUAGUGGCGGACGGGUGAGUAACGCGUGGGAACAUACCCAAAGGUACGGAAUAGCCUCGGGAAACUGGGAGUAAUACCGUAUGUGCUCGAAAGAGGAAAGAUUUAUCGCCUUUGGAUUGGCCCGCGUUGGAUUAGGUAGUUGGUGGGGUAAUGGCCUACCAAGCCGACGAUCCAUAACUGGCUUGAGAGGAUGAUCAGCCACACUGGGACUGAGACACGGCCCAGACUCCUACGGGAGGCAGCAGUGGGGAAUCUUAGACAAUGGGGGAAACCCUGAUCUAGCCAUGCCGCGUGAUCGAUGAAGGCCUUAGGGUUGUAAAGAUCUUUCAGGUGGGAAGAUAAUGACUGUACCACCAGAAGAAGCCCCGGCUAACUCCGUGCCAGCCGCCGCAGUAA